This is a non-coding RNA of Caenorhabditis elegans, 70 nucleotides long. NCBI's taxonomy places the organism in Eukaryota, Metazoa, Nematoda, Chromadorea, Rhabditida, Rhabditidae. The record is from Ensembl.
ACUUGUUUCCAUUUUUCACAAAAACUUCUUGCGACGUUUCAUAAUCACAAAUGCUCACAUGAGGGAUUGG